AUGUACUCCGAAUAUUCGCCGACGUCCUCCUCCAGCUCAUCAGGUUCUCCGGUGGAAUUUAAGCCAGACAAGAGUCAACUUAAUUCGUCGGAAAAAUGUGCAAUUUGUGGAAAUCUUGCUUUUUGCUACAACUAUGGUGUGAGUUUUAAAACAAAUUCCAAUUUUCUCAUUGUUACGCCAAAAAAAAAAAGUUUCCGGAAAUUAAUAUAGAACUAUAGAUAAAUAUUUGCAGUUUCUGAAAAGAACUUCACUCUCAAUUAAACGUUUUUGGAAUUCCUUACUUAAGUUGACUUAAGUUGAUCAAAAACUGGCAGUUUUUGAGUCACUUCGAAACUUCCUAAUCAGGGGUGCGCGGCAAUUGCCGAACGGCAAUUCUACAAAAUGAGACCGUUGGGCAUAUUCCCCCGAAAUUUUUCAUUAAAAUUUAAUGAUACAAUAUAGUAAAAUAUUUGCUCUAUCUGAAAAUGACUUUUAUUUGACUUGAAACAAUCGAGAAAGUGUUCAAAAAUUGUCUGAAAGUUGAAAAUUGCCGGUGAAAAUCGCCGAAAAAUUGACGGCAAUGCUACAACUACAACUUGCUACAACUAUGGUGUUCUCUCGUGCAACGCGUGCAAAAUGUUCUUCCGACGAGUCGAGGUAGACCGAAUUACCUACCAUUGUAAAUAUUGGGAUAGAUGCUACGACGGUCAAGAGUUUGUCAAUGUCAAAAAAUUCUCAAAACGAUGUCGAGCUUGCCGAUAUCAGCGGUGUCUUCAAGUCGGCAUGAAGUAUAUUUGUCCCGGAAAACUGGAACUCGAGCUGCUGAACCGCGUCGACGACGAAACUUGCUCACUGAUCAAAACGUUACUUUUGAUGGAUUCGAAUCGCCGCCACAAAAUCGCUAACUUUUAUACACCCGACGAUUUGACUCUCGUGGAAAUUGUGAAAAACAAUAAAAAGUCAAGAAUGGUGACGAAAAGUGCCACGCAAAUGAUUACGGUUCACGAUUGGACCCUUCUCGGGUUAUAUGUGACAAUUGAAAUGUUUUUGAGCAUGGAAUUUAUGGGAUCCAUAGAUAAUGAGGAUAAAAUAAUUCUCCUCCGCAAUUUUUCUUUCAAGUCCGUUAUUUUAAACAGUGCAAUGCGAUCAUACAGCUCCAAAGUUGACCGAGUAACAACGCCCGAUGGGAUCGAUGUUUAUCCGGACUUUAUGCUACGAAUGUUUUCCCCGGAGUUCGUCAUCGGAAUCCGCAGUCGGCUUAUAGCUCGACUGGCCGAGCUGAAAGUGACCGAUGAAGAGCACAUGCUGCUCAAUGUUCUACUUUUCUGCGAUGCAGCUCUCCACAACCUGUCCGAAAAAGCCGUAACAACAAUCUCAAAGUACCAACAAAUGUACAGCUCCGUCCUUCUUCAAUACUGCCUCCACAGAUACCAACAAUCCGGCCCAUCCCGAUUCGCCGAUCUCUUAUCUCUUUGCCACGUGGUGAAUCGAGCGUCAGAAGAUGUGCAGCACCUCACUACGAUCAUACAACUUCACCAACCGAAAACUGAGUACAAACAGCUUUUCGUUGAUGUAUGCCAUAGAUUAUGA
This 1569-nucleotide unclassified non-coding RNA is filed under the name Caenorhabditis elegans. RNAcentral describes it as "Non-coding transcript of protein-coding gene nhr-15". Lineage: Eukaryota; Metazoa; Nematoda; Chromadorea; Rhabditida; Rhabditidae. The record is from RNAcentral.